UUUAAAGUAUAAAUAUAUCCCAUGCAAUACUUGGAAUAUACUUAUACUAUAA
This 52-nucleotide microRNA precursor is filed under the name Canis lupus familiaris (dog). RNAcentral describes it as "mir-1302 microRNA precursor family". It matches the Rfam family "mir-1302 microRNA precursor family". The record is from Rfam by way of RNAcentral. Lineage: Eukaryota; Metazoa; Chordata; Mammalia; Carnivora; Canidae. RNAcentral also lists the same sequence under 1 other name.